UGCGUAGGUGGCUUAUCAAGCCAGAGGUGAAAGGCAUUGGCUCAACCAAUGUAAGCCUUUGGAACUGAUUAGCUUGAGUGCAGGAGAGGUAAGUGGAAUUCCUAGUGUAGAGGUGAAAUUCGUAGAUAUUAGGAGGAACACCAGUGGCGAAGGCGACUUACUGGACUGUAACUGACACUGAGGCACGAAAGCGUGGGUAGCGAACA
Molecule: ribosomal RNA, 206 nt
Filed under: uncultured Fusibacter sp.
Lineage: Bacteria; Bacillati; Bacillota; Clostridia; Eubacteriales; Fusibacteraceae
Description: partial 16S ribosomal RNA
Rfam family: Bacterial small subunit ribosomal RNA
Source: RNAcentral